CCCACUGAACAAAAAUUAAACAAAGUGUAUCUAUUAAAAUAUCGUCAACAUUGUAAUUAAUAUAAUUUUAUUAAAGCGGGUCAUAGUUAGAGAGUAUCCCUAUAAUAACAGAGCGCGUCAAAGGUUAUCUGGCGAAAUAAGUCGCAGGUUUAGUAUAUAAACAGAAUUGUUUGAACAGUCACAGUAACUACAGUCAUGAAACUGGUCACUUUUAUAUUAUUAUAUGCAAUUGUUGUUCUGGAAGUUUUAUCAAUACCAUUGUUCUCAUCAGCACCAUCCUAUUCUGUUACAGUUGUUGAAGAUUAUGAGCCGUGUCCAUUUGGGCAAGUAAGAAAUCCUCAAUGUGAAUGUGAACCAAACAAAGCGGUAAUUUAUGAUCCACCACCAAUAUGCCUUUCUAUUUAUGACUGAAAUUGACUAGUAAUUAAAUGUACUUUAUGACCAAUUAAUAAAGAUAUUUUAAAUUAA
This is a long non-coding RNA of Aethina tumida (small hive beetle), 468 nucleotides long. RefSeq lists it as uncharacterized. NCBI's taxonomy places the organism in Eukaryota, Metazoa, Arthropoda, Insecta, Coleoptera, Nitidulidae. The transcript is spliced from 2 exons. The record is from RefSeq and is a predicted model, not a curated record.